This 427-nucleotide long non-coding RNA is filed under the name Homo sapiens (human). RNAcentral's name for it is "HSALNT0293000". The record is from RNAcentral. Lineage: Eukaryota; Metazoa; Chordata; Mammalia; Primates; Hominidae.
CUGACUUCACAUAUGGGUGGUCACUGAGAAGAGGACAACUGGCUACAAAUAUCAACAGGCUUUAACAGUCUUCUUUCCUUCAAGUCCAGUUCUUUGAAAGUCCAAAUUUGCUCUGAACUGACUUCAAGCAAGUGCCCACUCUUGAACAAAUUACUGAGGCUGGAGGAUAAAGACACAAAUUGGCCAAACUUGGAUUACCUGCCUUCUGCAUCUUAAAGGAGUCAGUCCCAACUACAAAUUUAAGAGGAUCACAGAAACACCCACAAACUUACGAGGAUCACAGAAAACACCCCUACACCAACUUAUAGCCAAUCUAUUCAACCUGCAUUGUUAGCAGGUCACCUCUCCUGGAUCUCUGCCUGUAGUGCCCAAUUAAGAAUGGAAGGCUUAUGGACAAAGUGGCCAUGGUGGCAAGAACAGAGGUUAU